AGAAUCAACGCUGGCGGCGUGCCUAACACAUGCAAGUCGAACGAGAAAGUGGAGCAAUCCAUGAGUAAAGUGGCGCACGGGUGAGUAACACGUGACUAACCUACCCUUGAGUGGGGGAUAACCUAGGGAAACCUGGGCUAAUACCGCAUAAUACCUUCGGGUCAAAGGAGCAAUUCGCUUAAGGAGGGGGUCGCGGCCGAUUAGUUAGUUGGCGGGGUAAUGGCCCACCAAGACGAUGAUCGGUAUCCGGCCUGAGAGGGCGCACGGACACACUGGAACUGACACACGGUCCAGACUCCUACGGGAGGCAGCAGUGGGAAUUUGCGCAAUGGGGGAAACCCUGACGCAGCAACGCCGCGUGGAGGAUGAAGCCCCGUUGGGGCGUAAACUCCUUUCGAUCGGGACGAUUAUGACGGUACCGGAAGAAGAAGCCCGGCUAACUUCGUGCCAGCAGCCGC
Molecule: ribosomal RNA, 458 nt
Filed under: uncultured bacterium
Lineage: Bacteria
Description: SSU rRNA
Rfam family: Bacterial small subunit ribosomal RNA
Source: RNAcentral